UAACCCAAGGAGCGUUGCAGCGAAGCAUUGAUUCGUCAGGCUUGGGUCACCGGCGUGUUCCCCGAAGCGCCUGCAGCAACGACGCUCACCUUGA
Molecule: non-coding RNA, 94 nt
Filed under: Polaromonas sp. JS666
Lineage: Bacteria; Pseudomonadati; Pseudomonadota; Betaproteobacteria; Burkholderiales; Comamonadaceae
Also listed under: 1 other name
Description: SAH (S-adenosyl-L-homocysteine) riboswitch aptamer
Rfam family: SAH (S-adenosyl-L-homocysteine) riboswitch aptamer
Source: Rfam by way of RNAcentral